UUUUUUUUUUUUUUUUUUUUUUUUGAGAUGAGCUCUCUAAAGACAUGUUUACAUACUUCUGUCAGCAGAUGCUUGCCUUGGAUGGACAGAGAAGUGCUUUAAAAUAUAGGUGGUGAAAACCCUCUGUGAACUGGGAGAGCAGAUAAAUACAUGUAUGUUGACAAAGUAACAAAGUGCAGAUGUUCUAGGAAAAACAGACCUCUCCUUUAUAUGCCUAAAUAUAGAUGUUGAUGUAGAAACUCGAACUUUUCCAUCAGUCCCUACAAGCAAGCAAAAUGCUGCCGCCUUAUAUAAUGUUGAAACCAAAUUUUUAUCUCCUGAUUAGAAAAAAAACGAGUAUGAGCAAAACAAAAGCAAUUAGGACAAGGUGGGGCCAUGAUUAGGUAUCAGAUGUUGCUAAGUGUCCAGACAGUCAAGUGAAAGAACGCUCUUUUGAAAUGCCUACACAGGUGGGCAGGUUAUACGGAAAUAAAAUUUCAGCUCAUCUGCUCAUAUGACAGGAUGUACAUCUAUCCUUUCUUGUUUUUCCAAUUCUGCUAAGAUUGGAAAUCUAAAUUAGAAAAAAAAAAAAACCAAAAUGUUUUUCUUUCAUUUUUCUUUAAACUAGGAAAAACAAUUAUUCCACUUUUUCAAAGUUCAUCCUUAUCCCAACUACUUCAUUGUUGCCAAGACUAAUAGAUCUGCAGUCCCUCUUGAGCUUUUAGGAAUUGUCCCAGUUUCAUUUCACACAACUGAUCUGCCCUGGAGGCUAUUUUAAGCCAUCACAACAUCAGGUUCAGACAGUUCAGACAUAAUAAUAUAUUAUCGCAGAACAUUCUGCAUUGAUAAUUAAAUAGGGAUAUGAAAUUAUCUUUCACUGUGGCAUAAAAAUAUAAUUAAGGCAUCUUCCCAAACUCUGUAGCAUGAUAAACUUUUUCAGGUAUGCUGAACAAAACAAUCCUCUAACAACUGUCAGCAUGUUCCAGAAACAAUUCAGCAGCAUAUCAUAACAACAAAAUAUUUUAAUAUAAGCAGAGAUGCUAUGAAAAAGAACAAGCUGCAAAAAAUAGCUCAUUUCUUCCCUUGUAGAUUCUGUGCCAGUGUCUUUUCUUAUUGGGAGCAUGGCUGACAUGCUUUAUUGGGUGACAGCUCCUGCCCAGCUGUACCUGGGAUGUCACUUGGGUGGAAGGUCCCUUCCCUGUGCUGCAUAACCCUGUAAAGUUUGCAGCCCCCUUUUUGUAGCUUGAGCAGGGACAUAAAUAUGUGGGUUUUUUCCUCAGUGGGUUAAAACUUAGCAUGUCCCAUUGACAUAAUCCAAGUACAGUAAACAGAAUGAAAAGAUCAGAGAAUGAGGCUCAUUGUCUUCUGCAGUACAGAAAGAAAUAGUCAAUGAAAGCGUUUUCUGUGAUCAAGGGUAGAUGUUCAGUAAUUUUGGCGUUACACCAUGCACAGAUACAGGCCAAAGACAGCUAAGAGGUGAUUCAAGUACAAGGGGGAACUGGACUGAUGCCUUGUCAAAAGCCCAGUAAUAAUCCUCACCUUUCUAAAUUGUCUUUCAGUUAUUUUGAAAUUCCUCUCAUGUCCACCAAGAUGGCUUUUCUUCUAACUUUCCCCUACUUGGUCUCAGUGCCAUUUACCGUAAAUACUUCAUGCAUCAACUUUCCUUAUCCACAUGCUCUCUCAAAAUGUCCUUUAAUUUGCACUGUUCUUCUGCUCAGUUUGUCAGAUCUGAAAGACAAAAAUUUCUAAAGAAAUUGGCAAAACAACUAUGUGUUAGUGAAUGUCAUUCCCUCAACUGUUACUGUGUAGACGUGAGUUCUCACUUAGGCUGCUGUUGCUGGGAAUUUGAGAGAGUUGCUUCCCCAGCUACAGAGCAUUGACUACUCUUUUCUGGUAACCUCGUGUUGGUUCAGACAGAACUUCUGUUACAUAUACACAAAAGUAUAUGUAGUGCACAUUAAAGUUAGUGUAUACUUUUGUGUUAUUUACUAUGGUGUUGUAACUUUCAAAAACUGUCACCCUCCUAGGCCUGUCAUCAGUUACCUGGUAGACAGUACAUGGCAGUAUUUUACAGCAUUAUCCCAUCACUACAGCUCAUUGCCAUUGUACUUUAUCACCUUGGCAAACUGUAACUCAGAGCUGACUGUAGUUCUUGUGUGGAUAGGAGGGAGAGGCCAACAGGAGCCAUGUGGUUAGUUUUCCAGUGUGUAAUUAAGAGCAUAUCCUCCCUGAGUGGCAAUAGCUAAACCACUGCUGUUACUCCUCAGUUCCCUUUUCCACUUUCUUACUUGAAAUAGAAAUUAGUGAUCCAAUUGAAAGUGUAUUUUCUUAGGAGAGUUUGUUUACAAAAAUAUUUAAAGAUCUCUUUAGUCAGAAAUUAUAAGAAACUGUAUUAAGGUAAUCUCAAAAUAAAAUCUGCAGAUAAUUUAUCCCUGUUUUGUCCAAAAAGCUUAGAUUAAGUGAUAGAAGAAGAAAAGCCAACAGCUCCCACUCUGUAGUACUUUGUGACCCUUUUUUGUUUCUCAGUAUUUGCACUAAAACUGGGUAAAUAGUUUGGUUUGGUUAUAACAUUUUAAGAUGUAAAAAUAAAAUAUUUUCCUACACUGAGCUAUACCCAAGAUUUUUUCAACCUUCCUCACAAAUUAAGGAGAGUCCCAAACUAGCCAGCGGUUUGCAUUUGGAGGCACAUAGCAAGGAUGUGGAAAACUCUUCUCUAAAUGCUGCAUCCAUACUGAUUCUCUUGAUAUCCCUGCUUGGAACUGCAACACUUUGUGUAAACAAUUAAACACCCACUGGCCCAGGCAUUCGAGACUGGGUCCAUGUCCAGUGAAUGCCCCAAUCAUUCAGUGGUACUGCUGUUCUCUCUCUCUUAAUAUAGUUUUUGUUUGAAGCAUAUCAUGAGGUCUUUGAUUGAGACACAAACCCUAUACUCCUCAAGGCAAUAAUAUUUUUUGAAGAACAAGAUUGUUUUGUAGAUUAAUACUGACCCUUGAUUCCUAUGAAAGUAGUUAUGCCAUCAUUACCUUUUAUGCAUAUUUAAAAGGCAGGGCAGGGCAGGUCUUGAUGUUCCCAGGAAACAGAUUGUUUGUGUCAAAAAACAAUGCUGAAACAGUAAAAAAAAACUAAAAUAGAUAUAGUAAGUAAGAACUAUAUUGAAAAUCUCAUUUUUUAAAAAAGAGCAGCUCUCCCUGCCCUAUCCUGACAGCUCCCAGGUGAGUUAGAGCCUGGAAGGCAGUAGAGAGCCCCCCAGAAGCUGCAUGCAAAAUAGGAACAAGGUGAAGCAUAACCAGGGUUUUGUAUCACAAGUUACUUAAUCUCUCUGUGUCAUAUUUCAAAGUGUGAGAAGCAUUGUUUUGUUUUAUUUUCUUUAAAUUAUGUUUAUUAGCAUGUGAUAGAAUCUCAAUUCCCCUGACAGCCUGUCUUACUGCCCACAAACUAUGAGAAAUACACAACACUUGCUGAGGUGUUACUCCCCAAGUGAGGAAGGGGGAAGGACUUCUGAAGCAAAACAAGGAAAAUAAUUUGGGACUGCAAGAGCUGCAGUUUGCAGGAUGUCAAUCAAGCUUACUAUUCCUCUGCUUUGGAGAGAAAAAAAUCUUCUCCUACUGUUUCCCAGGAAGGAACAGCUGCAAGAACUGAAAGUGUCUGCAUCUAUUUUCCUCAGUAAACAUGGGAAUAUUUAGUUUCAGCAAAACCAGAUGGUUUACGCCCUGUGAAUAUGCUGGCAUUUGACACCAGCAGCCAGUUUCACAAAGUGCAUGCAGAGAGUGAGAAAGAACUCCUUUAAACUCUGGGACCUGACACAAGGAAUAAAAACUCUGAAGGCAGAAAUAACAGAUUGACUAAAAACCCAACCUUUAUGCAGGGAUCUCCAAGUGCUCGCUAAAUAUCAUUAAUCAGACUACAUAACAGUCCAUGAAAUGAUUAAAUUUUGACACACAUUUCUUACACUGAAGGUUACACUUAAAAAGAGAAGGUAAAUAAGUUCCUCCGGGUUAUGUGGUGAGUCACGGUCUGGUCUCCUGCACGCUCUGUCUACAUCUCUUCUCACUAAUGCGUCUCCAGUGUGCUGUGUCCUCAGCCAUAUUCCCAGGACACAAUUUUUAAAUGUGAAACCAUUACAGUUAAUAGUACAGGGACAGGGUUGCAGUGUUUGCAGCAUAAAUCACCACAGCUGGGGCAUCUGAGUGCUCUAUGGGGAAUUUAUAAUAUGCUAAAGAGAUUUAUGAACAGCCCUCAAACCUCUUGCUAAUGGUAGUUGCAGUGGGUGUUAAGUGACUGAAGAUUCUUAAUUAUUUGAUGAUUUUUAUUGAUUUGUGUUGUUAUUGCUUAACAUGACUCUGUAGUAACAAGGCAUCUGUCAAUCUGAAAGCAUUUUCCAGCCAGUGAAUUAUUGAAGUAUGUGGUUCUUAUAGGUUCUUACUGUCCUGUUGGACUGCUGGGAGGCUGAUGUGGUUUGCUCAAGAAUACUCAUAGCUUGCAGGGCAAGGCUACAGGGACUUUGGGCAUCGCAGUCACUGAUGGAUGCACCACAUGUUCCUGAGCCAAAUCUGCCCCUGCUGACUCUCUGUUGUCUGCUGCAUGUUAAAGCAGGAUUGGGAAGGAUUUCUUUCUACCUGCAGUUUCAGAGGGAACCUUCUCACAAAAGCACAUUAAUUCAUUACUUAGUGAAAUGUGUAUUUACAGUCAAUCACUAGAUAUUGCUUCUCCUUAGACCUACAGCCAUGAGCCCUGAAGGGGUUCUAGUCCUGGUUCAGGACACAGCAAAGGUCUGCAAUAUCUCCUUCAGCUUCCUGGAGAAGAGCCGUGUUGUGCUCCAGUUUAUCCCAUCGUCUGCAUGCUGGAGGGUGUGCCACUGAGCACACCUGCUCUGCCGUUGAGGCAAUGCUAUAAUUUAAUAUACUUUGUGAUCAGCAUUUUAAGAGUUUGAAUUUGCUAUUUCUCCAUUAUGUAAUUACAUAAUAAUAAUAAUUUAGCUAACAUAAUGUACGUGGAGUUUUGCUGUUGCUUCUUACGUAAAUUAAAGAUAUUUAGCAAUAUGUUGCAAAAUGGAUAUGUCUAUUUCUGAGAUGUAAGAUGUUACUUUUAUUCAGAAUUAAAUAAAAAGAAGCUGUUGGAAAGGCCUAUUUUACAAAGAAAUAACUACUUAAUUAUAACUCUUUAUCCCAUGGCUUAUUCACUAAUGUAGAAACUGCAGAGCUUCAAAGUGUUUAAAUUUUAGAAGAAGACCAAAAAAACCUCUCUGUAUUUCUGUCUCUUUAGAAAAAUUCAGAUACUUAAAUGUAGAUUCAGAAACUGAAAUUAUAUACAAAUGGGGAAUUUGAGCCUGAAUUUUGAAAAAGCAUCAUGAACAACUAACUAAACAUUAAGGAAAUAGUUUAUCUUUAGGUAGAAAAGAACACUUAUUUUAGUUGUUAAUCUGCUCUUAAGAAGCAGAGAUACUCUAUAUUUAAAGUAUGCUCCAGAAGAACUUCUAAAGAAAUUGAAAGUCAAAUUUAGAUAUCAAAAUGUGUCAGACAGCUUGACUUUUACCAAAUUGUAACUAACACAUCUCACUCCUAUUUUGUGGCAUUUUUAUUAACUAUUAAGUAAUCAAAUUUAACCCUGUUGUUCCAAAAAUAGUUCACUGGCAUACAGUAUGGCUUAGAAGAGCAGGAGGUGGGUGAGACCACAGCAAUGAGUCACAUUGACAGGUGUAAGCCUUGAGUCAGCAAAACCUGGCCUUACUCUCAAACCUGGGUGGGCUUGAUUCAGAGGAGGCCAUGGCUGGCAUUUGGGUUUGGGUUUGGGUUUGGGUUUGGGAUUGUACACAUGCUCUCACAAAAGGUCCGCAGAAACACGUGUGGUCAUGGCUGGCCAUGCUGCGCUUUCCCUGGUGCCAGCUCUGGCUGGAGCUGGUCAUUCCAAGCUCCUGCUCUUCCUCCCCACUGUGAUUUGCCAUCCUAGCCACCAUGCUGAUGUGUUUCUGGGACUGCACUGCAAGUCAGGUGUCUGCAGUGAUCCAGAUGAAUAACAAAUCCCUCUGGCUCUCUAGAAGUAGCUUUAACCCAUGUUGCUCUGGGUGAUCUGGUGUACAGCAGCCUCCCAAAGACACUGUCACAGCCCAGCUGAGGGCUGAACUCUGUGGUUUGAGGCUGAAAGUGGCAGUGGCUGGUGGAGGAGGGGGCUGGCUGAGCAGCCCCCAGAGCAAUGGUAUGGGGUAGCUAUACCAUCAGUGGGCUAGCAGGGAGGCUACAGCUCCCAGCUGCAGCUCUCGUGUCCUACUGAGUCAUCCCGUGACUCCAGAUAAGCCUUGUGCCUUAUCGUGCCUCAGCCUGCCACCUGCAAAUCAGUGAUAACAAAAUUUAAAUAAUUCAAAAGAACAUAGCAAGGCUUAAUGGAGGUUUGUAAUAUGUUUUGAACUCCCUACAUACAGUAGAGUGGAAUUUAAGGUAUCGCUGUUACGGAGCGUGUUGCUAGUAGUGCUGUCUUCCUUUAAUAAUCCCUGCAAACUCCCUGUCUUCCUACUCUCAUUAUCAGUGCUAGGCUUUGGUGUCAUUGUGUUGCUUGGACACCUUCUAAUUUAAAUUUCAUGUUUUGAUUUCUGGGUGAUAACUUCAAACACCAAUUUUCUUCUGCUACGCUAUGCAGCCUUUUGCUCAUUUUAAUGAAACCUAGCAACCACAAUGUAAAUUGGAAAUAACUACAGCCCAUUAGACUAUUGAAAUCCCUGACGAUUUGAAUUAUUCACUAUUAACAGAACUUGUAUAAUUAUAGGUUAAGAUAUCACUUAGGCAUUUAGCAUACAUCAGCUCCACUGCUAAUUUUUAGCUCUUGAUCUGUAUUAGUAACCUCAGCUUGCUAAAUUAAAGGAUAUGCCUCCAAUUAGCCUAAAUUUAACAUUCAAGAACACAUCUCUAGUGGGAUGAUGCUUAUAAGUUUAGAACAUCCAGGCAAUUUCAGCUGAUCUACAAAGUCUGUAUCACAAGUGAAAGAGAAAACAUUUUCUUACAAACACUUCCGUGACUUUCACAGGGAUAAAAGAAUAAAGGACAAAGCUGCAUUUUGUGUAAGAUCCAAAGCCAAAAGUGUGACAACCAUUGCAGUCCUCUGCCCUUGUAGGGAGCCCCAAAAAAGUUUGUACCUGGGACAGAGGCAGCUGGGUCACUGAAUGAGGACCUUCAGAAACCUAAACACUUAGUCUGAGGCAACAAGAAAGGAUUGAGAUGCACAGAAAAAAAGGAAGAGCACUGACAUUGUUAGCAAAAAAAAGCCAAACCAAAACAGUAAACAACAAAACAAUAUAAAGUUGUUACUUUUCCCCAAGAACUUUGCCUGUGUUUAACACAGCAGAACACUUCUGUUUGUUCACUGGACAUGUUAGGCAUGUACUACAGUGCAGGCAGUUGUGGCACCUGUGCAGUGUGUGGUCCUCCUGAACAGAGUUUGGUGCUCUAAAAACAAAACUCUGCAUAAGCUGAGUGUCAGAAUUGAGCAGUGUAAAUCCCUCAUUCAAAGCUGAUCUCAUUUUUUGGGAUUGUUCCCAGGAAUCUUCAGCAUCUUCUUUCCAAUUAAAUGACCAGAACAGUUAGUGUGACAAAGAUAAAAUUUCAUAUACUCAUCCAUUAAAAAAAGACUGCUUUCUGAGUACAGGGUAAACUGUAAUUGUCUGGUUAGGGAUCUUAAUAACAGGAUUUCAGCUACCACGGAGCAGUUUUAACCCACUCUUGAGGGUCAGAAACUCAGCUGCAGUAUCUUCAGCUGUAUCUUCAGUAUCUUCAGUAACACUCAACAUUUGUCUUUUUUCUUCUGAGAGCAAUGAAAUUAUUUUCUGUUUCCUAGUGUAUAAAUUAACUUUUCUGUUCCACUAAGAAAGAAAGAUUCCUGGUAACCAUCUGUGUAUUUUUUCAUACCAUUUGAUACCUGCUUGAGAUUAUUUGCUUGCACUAGAUAGUCCUAGGUAAUCACACUUUCACUUCUGGAAGGCCCUUUUAAAAUAUGGAGCUAGAAAAUGGUUUAGGCUUCAAAGCAAAUGAUGAGCCUGUUCACACAUACUGGUCAGAAGUUGGAAUAGAAUCUUAAAGCUUUUGUCUUGGCCAACACUGAGAAAAAAUACAGCUUUUGACAGUGUUAUGUCUUCUAUUCAUAAAUUCAAUAAAAUUAAUUUCAGUAAACAUGAGUGAUCUUGUUAAUGAGGAGAAAUGUGUUGCACUUGGUAGCUGUAUAAUUGUGUCAUAAGUAUAAUUCAAAAAUUGGUUGCUAAUAUUGAUGAGUGUCUCCAUAGGAAAGCUCUGGGUGAUAACAAAUCCUCUUGCUGGGAAAUCUGCUUAUAAACUUAUAAUUACAGAGAAGGGAGAAAGCACUAAACUGGAAAAUGCUAUUAAAAAUGUAAUAGAACCCAAAUUAUUCAAAGAUUAGUCAUGACAUUCAUUCAGCACAACUUGUUGCAAAGUGUGGAUUCUAUUGGAAACAAUUGGAAUCAAAAGAUUAUACUACUAAUACCUAACUUUGGUGUAUCCAGAACAAAUGAAAAAGAAAAAA
This is a long non-coding RNA of Taeniopygia guttata (zebra finch), 8499 nucleotides long. Lineage: Eukaryota; Metazoa; Chordata; Aves; Passeriformes; Estrildidae. The record is from Ensembl.